Molecule: ribosomal RNA, 235 nt
Filed under: uncultured bacterium
Lineage: Bacteria
Description: partial 16S ribosomal RNA
Rfam family: Bacterial small subunit ribosomal RNA
Source: RNAcentral
CGAACGGGUGAGUAACACGUGAGGAACCUGCCCCGAAGACCGGGAUAACGCUCCGAAAGGAACGCUAAUACCGGAUACCUUCACUGGAUCGCAUGACCCGGUGAAGAAAUGGAUUCCGCUUCGGGAGGGUCUCGCGGCCUAUCAGCUUGUUGGUGGGGUAAUGGCCCACCAAGGCUUCGACGGGUAGCUGGUCUGAGAGGACGAUCAGCCACACUGGGACUGAGACACGGCCCAG